This 736-nucleotide ribosomal RNA is filed under the name Cyclophorus moellendorffi. RNAcentral's name for it is "partial 16S ribosomal RNA". Lineage: Eukaryota; Metazoa; Mollusca; Gastropoda; Architaenioglossa; Cyclophoridae. The record is from RNAcentral.
AGUUUUAAUAUUUAGUAUAAUUUUUUUUAAAAAAAGAAACAUCAUUUAUAUUUAGUAAUGGUGAAAGAAAUAGUUACGUAUUAAUACAUAAAUUGUACCGUAUGGAAAGUUAUAAAUUUUUUUCAAGUAGAAUCUUAAAUUUGUACCUUUUGCAUCAUGGUUUAGCAAGAAAAUUUUUUAAAUUAGAUUUCUAGAAACCUAAGGAGCUACCUUAGUUUUGGUUUAGCCUUAGACAGAGGUGGGUGUGGCAUAACCCUAUUUAAAAUUUAAGGUAGAAAUUAAAUGUUAUUCGUUUUAGGUGAUAGCUAGUUAUAAUAUAAAGAUAUACAAGUAUCGGAUAUAAUUUCAUUAUGUUUAUAUUGUGUAUAUAUAAUGACUUAUUUUCUUAGUUAUAUGAGGGUAAGCUCGUAUAAAUUUAUUUUAAUUAAAAUUUUAUAUAAAUCUAAGCUUGAGAUUAGCUACGAUGAAUUGGAAUUUGUUAAAAAUGCAUAUAUAUCAAAACUUUGCAAUAUAUUAAAUUUAUAUUAUUCAAUUAUAUAAUUAAAACAUUAUUGAUUUAUGCUAAAAUGAGUAUUAUUAUAAAUCAAAACAAAAAAUAAAAUAAAUUAAAUUUUUUUUAAAGAUUUUUUAUAAAUAUUAUGAAACAUAUCAUAGGAAUUCGGCAAAAAUUAGCUCCGCCUGUUUAGCAAAAACAUGUCUCUUUGAAAAGUGAACAUAAAGAGUCUGGCCUGCCCGG